UUUCCGGUUGAUCCUGCCGGACCUUACUGCUAUCGGGGUGGGACUAAGACAUGCGAGUCGAGCGUCUCUAGCUAUGUUGAGACGCGGCAUACGGCUCAGUAACACGUGGCUAACCUACCCUCAGGACAGGGACAACCCCGGGAAACUGGGGCUAAUACCCGAUAGGUGAGGAUACCUGGAAUGGUUUCUCACUCAAAGGGCUUUGGAAACAUGCUUCCUCUGUCGCCUGGGGAUGGGGCCGCGACCGAUCAGGUUGUUGGUGAGGUAACGGCUCACCAAGCCUAUAACCGGUACGGGCCGUGAGAGCGGUAGCCCGGAGAUGGGUACUGAGACAAGGACCCAGGCCCUACGGGGCGCAGCAGUCGCGAAAACUCCGCAAUGCACGAAAGUGUGACGGGGCUAUCCCGAGUGCCAUCCGCUGAGGAUGGCUUUUCCUUGGUUUAACUAGCCGGGGGAAUAAGGAGAGGGCAAGACUGGUGUCAGCCGCCGCGGUAAUACCAGCUCUCCGAGUGGUAGGGAUGAUUAUUGGGCUUAAAGCGUCCGUAGCCGGCUUAGCAAGUCUCCUGUUAAAUUCAGCGACCUAAUCGUUGAGCCGCGGGAGAUACUACUAGGCUAGGAGGCGGGAGAGGUCGACGGUACUUCUGGGGUAGGGGUGAAAUCCUAUAAUCCCGGGAGGACCACCAGUGGCGAAGGCUGUCGACUAGAACGCGCUCGACGGUGAGGGACGAAAGCUGGGGGAGCGAACCGGAUUAGAUACCCGGGUAGUCCCAGCUGUAAACGAUGCGGGCUAGGUGUUGGGGUGGCUACGUGCCACUUCAGUGCCGCAGGGAAGCCAUUAAGCCCGCCGCCUGGGGAGUACGGCCGCAAGGCUGAAACUUAAAGGAAUUGGCGGGGGAGCACCACAAGGCGUGAAGCUUGCGGUUCAAUUGGAUUCAACGCCGGA
RNAcentral lists this ribosomal RNA (943 nucleotides) under uncultured archaeon. RNAcentral's name for it is "bacterial SSU rRNA". It matches the Rfam family "Archaeal small subunit ribosomal RNA", at positions 1 to 922 of the family's 1478-position model. The record is from RNAcentral.